CGAAAUAUGUUUUGCUUCAAAUUUAAGGACACAAGUCAAAUUGGGACGCAAAAUAUAGCUUCAUAAAGAUGUAAACUAAUUUGCUAUCAAGAUAAUAAGUUGAGGACCAGUAAUGCAAUAUUUCUAAGUAAUUAAUUGCGAAGAUACCUGUGUCCCACGGCAUUUAGAAAAAAUGCUCAAAGGUUACAGCCUUUGAAAACAAUAUCACUCUGAACCUUGAUUUAUCA
This 227-nucleotide long non-coding RNA is filed under the name Olea europaea (common olive). RNAcentral describes it as "long non-coding RNA (OEUR_LNC008424)". The record is from RNAcentral. Lineage: Eukaryota; Viridiplantae; Streptophyta; Magnoliopsida; Lamiales; Oleaceae.